UGGGGAGGGGGCGUGGCCUAAGGCAGGGCUGGACGCCAUUGGCUGAAGAAUACCGGGUCAGGCCAAUCCGGGCUUCUAGAGGGGCUUACUCGGCCGCAGGCCCUGCGCGCGCCAAUGCGCGUGCCUCCUUGGCCGGCGGGAGGAGGGGCGGAAAUUAGAGCCGGGUGAGGGGCACGCUGACGCACGACGUUCGAGGAUGGCGGGUCUGGGUGUAACCGCGCGGGGCCGCUGUCUGUACCCGCCUCAGCGGGGAACCCGGCCGGCUUUUCCCUGCCAGAGCUUUUGUGCGAUGACAACCUUAAGCCCCGCGGUAGAAGGGAUCGCUCUGGAGCACACCCCUUUGUCCCUCCAGUCCUUCCCGUGAGGGGCGCUGGCAAGGAGGCGUGUCCAUUGAGGCCGGGCGCUGAGCUGCCGCCCUCGCCUAGGGGCGGAACUCGGUCGCGCUGCGCCCCACUGCUGCCGGUUUCCCAGGUAGCCGCGCCUAGAACUUCAGGCCGCUGGCCACCUCCUCGCUCUUUCUCUGUUGCACUUCAGCUCAGCACUGGCCAGAGCAAGGACACGAAUAGAACUGGACUUUUCACACGGGAGGGCCAGGCGUUCCCCCGACUCAUUCCGGGAGCCGGGGACACAGGGUGCCGCCCUGCUGCCUUUCAGCCCGGCUAAACUGGCUCAGGACUGGCUCUGGUCUGGCGAUUAAUCUGGCCGCCAAGUGAUGUGCCCACCGUGGCCUGUGCUUAUAGGAGUGAACUACGUGCCCGGGCAGCGGGUGCUGCUGUACAGGGAACGUGGGGCCCCUUCCUCCCCCUUCCGUCCCAGGCCCGCUGCCAACUUCUCUAGGCUGCCCCUCUCCCACCGCAGUCGGGAAGGCUUCAAAAGCCACCAGCUGCGAGGACCCCGCCCACCCCGCCCCACCCUUCCACUGGGCCGCCUGAAGGAAAUGCUGGGCUUAGUCCCUGCGGGGUCUGGACCAACUUGCCCUUGACUUCCAUCGCAGGCGCUCCCCACCCUCAAACUCCAAGUCUUGGGCCAUCAGCGAAGAGACUGGUGCAUAACUUCCUGCCUUGGGAACGACUUUAAUACACCCCUCACAGCUUCGCCCUCACCAGACUCUGGUGAGGCAGCUCCUGGCCCAAAACUGGAAGCAUUGAACUCAAAAGUCUGCAACCACUCGUUUGUUGGGCUAAAUGGCCUUGGAACAAGUCAGACACCCGAGCUGAAUUUCAACAGAAGUCGGGAAAGUGAGGACCACUCAGGCAUUUGGCCCCAGUGGACCAGAAUAGAGAAGCUGGGAAUUAAGGGCGAUGGCAAGGUGGACUCUUUGGAAGAGGAAUUAGAUCAUGAGAGUGGAGCCUUCUUGAAUGAAAUUAGUGUACUUCAAAAGAGAUUUCAGAGACCUCCUUUGCCCUUCCAUCAUAUGAAGUUAUAGUAAGAAUACAGCCAUCUAUGAACCAUGAUGCCUAGGUUUGAUCAUGUACCUACCAGCCUGAGGAACUGAGAAGCAAAUUGUUAAUACCACCCAGUCUAUGGUAUUUGUAAUACCAACCCCAAACAGAUUAAGACACCUUCCCACUCAUAGGAAGCCAGCAGGCUGUCUCUGGAAGACCAGGAGCUAAGCUAUUGAGGGAAGCAUCAACCUGAUCUGAAUUGAGAAAACUGGCAGAGUUUGGGAUUCAAAUAAUAAGUAGGUUUAAAACUAAAUUAACAGAAAAGCAAGAGCUUCAAAGAAACAAAAAGGAAUGUCCACUGUAGUUGCCUGCUUGGCUCAGUUGCAGAUAAUGUUUUCAAAGUGGUAAUGAUCAACACUGAACCCUGACCAAAUCAACUUUUUCACAUCAUUCUCAUGGAGGAAUGGAACACUCUGGGUGGGCACAAGGGAGGGAGUGGGAGGAAAAGAAGUCUACAUUUGUAUAAUGAGAUAUCAGUAAGCCCCCCAAAUUGGAAAAAUUAGAAGUAGUGAUGCUAUGGUGAGCAGAAUUCUAAGAUUCCCCAACAUUCUGCCCCUAGUCUAUACAUAUCCACUCCCAGUUAGUCAACUAAUACCCUAGGUGUUUUUGUAAGAGAUUUUGUGAUGUGAUUAUGCUUUCUAAUCAGCUGACAUUAAGAUAGGGUGAUCAUCUCAGUGCAUCUGAGCUGAUCACAUUAUUCCUUUCAGUUUGAGUCCAGAGAGACAAGGAGGUUAGAGAAAUUGGAAACAUGACAGAUAUUUGAAUUGAGAAAGAUGCUCCAUUGCUGACUUUGACAAAAAGAAUGUCCACUAUAGUGGACAUUGGAGGGGUGACAUGGCAAUGGAGGGGGUGACAUGGCAAGGAAUGCAGGCAGGAAAUAAGAGUAGUCCCUGAUUGAAAACCAACUAGAAAUGGGGACCUCAGCCUACAACCACACACACACAAAAAAAUAGACUGUUACCACAGCUGAAUGAGUUUGGAAAAGGACCCCAAGCUCCAAAUGGGAACCACAGUCCAGGCAACUUGAUUUUAGUCUCAUGGGGUCCUGAACAGAAAAGAACAGUACCAUUCCCAGACUUUUAACUUACAGACCAUAAAAUAAUAAAGAUUAUUAUCUUAAUCCCCUAA
This is a non-coding RNA of Ictidomys tridecemlineatus (thirteen-lined ground squirrel), 2573 nucleotides long. NCBI's taxonomy places the organism in Eukaryota, Metazoa, Chordata, Mammalia, Rodentia, Sciuridae. The record is from RefSeq and is a predicted model, not a curated record.